AGUGCCGGGGGAGAGGGGCGUAAAUGCAGUCGAGCGGUAGGCCUUUCGGGGUACACGAGCGGCGAACGGGUGAGUAACACGUGGGUGAUCUGCCCUGCACUUCGGGAUAAGCCUGGGAAACUGGGUCUAAUACCGGAUAUGACCUCCGGUUGCAUGACUUGGGGUGGAAAGAUUUAUCGGUGCAGGAUGGGCCCGCGGCCUAUCAGCUUGUUGGUGGGGUAAUGGCCUACCAAGGCGACGACGGGUAGCCGACCUGAGAGGGUGACCGGCCACACUGGGACUGAGACACGGCCCAGACUCCUACAGGAGGCANCAGUGGGGAAUAUUGCACAAUGGGCGAAAGCCUGAUGCAGCGACGCCGCGUGAGGGAUGACAGCCUUCGGGUUGUAAACCGCUUUCAGCGGGGACAAAAGCGCAAGUGACGGUACCAGACAAAUAGGCACCUGCUAGGUCCCUGCGUGCAGGCGCAUUAAUACAGAG
Molecule: ribosomal RNA, 480 nt
Filed under: Rhodococcus erythropolis
Lineage: Bacteria; Bacillati; Actinomycetota; Actinomycetes; Mycobacteriales; Nocardiaceae
Description: bacterial SSU rRNA
Rfam family: Bacterial small subunit ribosomal RNA
Source: RNAcentral